Molecule: ribosomal RNA, 460 nt
Filed under: uncultured bacterium
Lineage: Bacteria
Description: partial 16S ribosomal RNA
Rfam family: Bacterial small subunit ribosomal RNA
Source: RNAcentral
CCUACGGGUGGCUGCAGUGAGGAAUAUUGGUCAAUGGCCGGAAGGCUGAACCAGCCAAGCCGCGUGAAGGACGAAGGUGCCAAGCAUUGUAAACUUCUUUUGUCAAGGGACAAAAUCAGGCUCGAGAGCCUGUCCGAGGGUACUUGAAGAAAAAGCAUCGGCUAACUCCGUGCCAGCAGCCGCGGUAAUACGUAGGGUGCAAGCGUUAUCCGGAAUGAUUGGGCUUAAAGGGUGCGGAGGUGGUUAAGUAAGUUGGCGGUGUAAUUCCGGGGCUCAACCUCGGCGGUACCGCGAAAACUAUUAGAUGGGAGGGCAGGAGGGGUAAGUGGAAUGCCUAGUGUAGCGGUGGAAGGCGUAGAUAUUAGGAAGAACAUCAGGGGCGAAGGCGACUUACUGGACUGUAACUGACACUGAGGCACGAAAGCGUGGGGAGCAAACAGGAUUAGAUACCCUUGUAGUC